AUUGAACGCUGGCGGCAUGCCUUACACAUGCAAGUCGAACGGCAGCAUGGAAGAGCUUGCUCUUCUGAUGGCGAGUGGCGAACGGGUGAGUAAAGCAUCGGAACGUACCGUGUAGUGGGGGAUAACGUAGCGAAAGUUACGCUAAUACCGCAUACGCACUGAGGUGGAAAGCAGGGGAUCGCAAGACCUUGCGCUAUACGAGCGGCCGAUGUCAGAUUAGCUAGUUGGUAGGGUAAAGGCCUACCAAGGCGACGAUCUGUAGCGGGUCUGAGAGGAUGAUCCGCCACACUGGGACUGAGACACGGCCCAGACUCCUACGGGAGGCAGCAGUGGGGAAUUUUGGACAAUGGGCGAAAGCCUGAUCCAGCCAUGCCGCGUGAGUGAAGAAGGCCU
This 393-nucleotide ribosomal RNA is filed under the name uncultured bacterium. Its description in RNAcentral is "bacterial SSU rRNA". It matches the Rfam family "Bacterial small subunit ribosomal RNA", at positions 30 to 417 of the family's 1533-position model. The record is from RNAcentral.